CCCUUAGAUGUUCUGGGCCGCACGCGCGCUACACUGACGGAGGCAGCGAGCGUGUCCUUCGCCGGCAGGUGCGGGCAAUCUUGCGAGUCUCCGUCGUGCUGGGGAUAGAUGGUUGCAAUUGUCGAUCUUGAACGAGGAAUUCCUAGUAAGCGCGAGUCAUCAGCUCGCGCUGAUUACGUCCCUGCCCUUUGCACACACCGCCCGUCGCUACUACAGAGUGCCCGUGUCCAAGAAACGGUCGGACCUGUGCGGCCUCUCCGGGCGACCGGAGGGCCGUUACGGGGAAGACCCUUUAUUUGACGCGGGUCGAUGAAGUAAAAGUCGUAACA
Molecule: ribosomal RNA, 329 nt
Filed under: uncultured eukaryote
Lineage: Eukaryota
Description: partial 18S ribosomal RNA
Rfam family: Eukaryotic small subunit ribosomal RNA
Source: RNAcentral